Molecule: ribosomal RNA, 253 nt
Filed under: uncultured bacterium
Lineage: Bacteria
Description: partial 16S ribosomal RNA
Rfam family: Bacterial small subunit ribosomal RNA
Source: RNAcentral
UACGGGGGGGGCAAGCGUUGUUCGGAAUUACUGGGCGUAAAGGGCGCGUAGGCGGCCUGCUAAGUCGGACGUGAAAUCCCUCGGCUCAACCGGGGAACUGCGUCCGAUACUGGUGGGCUCGAAUCCGGGAGAGGGAUGUGGAAUUCCAGGUGUAGCGGUGAAAUGCGUAGAUAUCUGGAGGAACACCGGUGGCGAAGGCGGCAUCCUGGACCGGCAUUGACGCUGAGGAGCGAAAGCGUGGGGAACGAACAGG